UCUUCUCUAACCCUAUUAUUUACCAGAUCUCCUUCAUCCCUCCUCCGCUUCUUCAAUCUAGUUCAACAUCUUCUUCGACGCUAGUUCUCCUAAAACCAUCCUUAUCCUUGACCGCUCCUUGCAAUGGGUGAAGCCAAGAUCGCCAAGAAUGACAAGAAGAGAAAAAAGAACAACCCUAUGGCAACGACAACUAUGUCUUCUUCUUCCUUCUCUUUUCUACAUAUUAAACUAACCCAAAUCUCGACUUAUUUGCUCUAAUUGAACAAUCUCAUGUGUGAAAGACCUUCAUUUCUACGAAAGAUCUAACUCAAUUGUUACCCUCUAGGUGCUGUCUUCUUCUUCCUUUUCUUCUCUGUAUGUUAAACUAACCUAGAUCUCGACCCUCUUGCCAUGAUUGAAUAGUCUCGUGCCCUCUUGAAACAUUUUCACAUAAAUGACCUAACCCGAUCUCCUAUCCUCUCGGUGUUAUAGUUUUCUCUCUUCUUACGUCUCAUAUCUUCAUAAUUAUUGUAGCCCAAAUUAUUGUAGCCUGAAUGCGAUAAUUUUUUCCUUGCUUGAUGUCCUAAAAUCCAACUCAUCAUACCCAAGUUAUUGGAGAUUGGGCAUGAUAAUAUUUGUCUCUCCAUCGUCUUUACAAAAUUCCCAAACCGAGAACAUAUCAGGGUGCAGAUUGAGGAACCACAAAUACCAAACAAACGGUCCAGAUUUCUCCAUUUUUUUAAAACGCACUCUCCACCCUCUCUCUUGCCGCCCGAGUCGCCUUCCGCGGCCAGCAAGCGGGAACGCGUCUACUCUCAGAAAUUUUCAUCACCAGAAUAAAUAACUCGAUCGAGUGGUGGGACGACGGCGCUGAUCGUGCCGGCGCGACGCCCAGACCGGCAUUGAAAUGCCAAUUAGAUUCAGAGACAAAACGCUCCGUCGACCUUCGCAAUACCAUCUCAAUCUCCCUUCCAGUCCCCAACUCAAGGAAUUCGAGAAGGCGAGAUCUCUCUCCGCCCCCUUCUAGGGUUCUGAUCAAUGGCCUCCACCAACCACCACCGGUCGUCGCUGCGUUCCGAGCGUCAGAUCCCCACGGCCAGGGGCAGCGUUGCGAACGCCUCGAUCCGCACCAAGCCCGCCUCGACCAAGCGUUCCGUCGCUGCCGGGAGCCUCCGAGCCUCCAUCGAUGAUCAGAAUGCUGAUAGUGGAAGAGUGCGGGUGGCUGUUAGACUUCGGCCUAAGAAUGCUGAGGAUUUUCCUUUUGAUGCAGACUUCACUGAUUGUGUCGAAUUGCAGCCUGAGCUGAACAGGCUGAAGUUGAGAAAAAAUAAUUGGAGCUCUGAGUCCUAUAAAUUUGAUGAGGUUUUCACGGAAAGUGCUUCUCAAAGGCGUGUUUAUGAAGCUGUUGCAAAACCUGUAGUGGAAAGCAUAUUAGAUGGGUACAAUGGGACAGUGAUGGUUUACGGUCAAACAGGAACCGGAAAAACUUACACAGUUGGUCGGCUUGGGAAAGAUGACCCAUCAGAACGUGGUAUUAUGGUCAGAGCAUUGGAGGACACUAUUGCCAAUACCAAUUCUAACCUUGAUUUUGUGGCAGUUUCCUACUUGCAGUUGUAUCUAGAAUCAAUACAAGAUCUGCUGGCACCUGAAAAGACCAAUAUUCCAAUUGUUGAGGAUCCGAAAACCGGUGAGGUGUCCUUGCCUGGGGCUACUCUAGUUGAAAUACAAGAUCUUGACCAUUUUCUGGAGCUGCUGCAAAUUGGUGAAGCAAACCGCCAUGCUGCAAAUACUAAACUAAAUACUGAAUCAUCUCGAAGUCAUGCUAUUCUUGUGGUUCAUGUCCGAAGAUCUAAGAGGAAAGAGGACAAUGAUGCCUCCUCUCUGGCUAGCAGUUCGAAUGGUGAUUUACCAUCUUUCCACAUGCCAAUUGUUCAAAAAAGCAAGUUGCUUAUUGUUGAUCUUGCAGGAUCUGAAAGAAUAGACAAAUCUGGCAGUGAAGGUCACAUGCUUGAAGAGGCUAAGUUUAUUAAUCUAUCACUCACUUCUCUUGGAAAGUGUAUUAAUGCGUUAGCUGAGAACAGUCCUCAUAUACCAAUAAGAGACUCCAAACUCACAAGGCUGCUUCGUGAUUCAUUUGGAGGCACUGCAAGGACAUCUCUUAUUGUAACAAUUGGUCCAUCUGCACGACAUUAUUCUGAAACGGCAAGCACAAUCAUGUUCGGGCAGAGGGCAAUGAAAAUAGUAAACGCAAUCAAGUUAAAGGAGGAAGUUGAUUAUGAGAGUCUAUGUAGGAGGCUUGAGUACCAAAUAGACUAUCUUACAUCAGAUAUGGACAGACAACAAAAACUUAGAGAUACUGAGAAAGAGCAAAUGGAGAAAAAAUUGAAAGUGUAUGAAGCAUCCUUAGCUGAUGCAGAAAAGGAAUUGGUUGUGAAGUCUGAGCAUUUUGAGAAAGAAAAUAUCCAUCUAGAGUUAAAGAUCAAAAGUUUGUUGGAGGAACUAAACACUCAGAAGGGCGAAAACAAUCAUUUGUUUGAAGAGGUUGUUCAUCUAGAAACAUGCUUGAAGCAGAGCAAGCAGCACCAGCUUGAAAGUUCUACAUAUCAGAAGGUACUUGCAGACACUACUCAGAUGUAUGAGAAGAAAAUAGCAGAACUACUUAAGCAUCUAGAAGAUAAAAACUCCCAUUGUGCAACUUUAGAAGCCCAGAUGGCUGAAAUGCAGCAGCAACUGGAUGAUAAUCAGAAAUUACUGCAGGAGAUGUCAAAGCUGAACAAAGAGGCUGCAAGUAAAGUUCAGUCCCUAGAAGCAGAAAACAAUGAAAUCUUGCUGGGAAAGGAAUCGUUAAAUAAAGAGCUUAAAUCUCUGCAAGAAAAACUGUUAUAUGAAGAAAUGCAAAGACAGACUCUUGAAGUUGACAUUGUCAAAUUGAAAAAUGUCUUGAAUAACCACAGUACUGAACUUGAGUAUAAAACGUCGCAUCAGAUGGACAGUGCAAUUAGAUCUACAUCAGGAUUAGGUGGUGCAUUAAACAUCCCCAAGCCAAACAAGUCAAGGGAGACGAUGUCUACUCAAAGGGAUACUAUUUCCAAGAUCUUUGAAGAAGUUGGCCUUUCAAAUAUAAUAGGUUUGUUAAAAUCUGGGGACUUAGAUGUGCAAAUCCAUGCAGUGAAGAUGGUUGCUAAUCUUGCUGCUGAAGAUAUAAACCAGGAAAAGAUUGUUGAGGAAGGAGGGUUGGACGCUCUACUUACGCUUUUAGAAUCAUCAGAGAAUACAUCCAUCCAUCGAGUUACUGCUGGUGCUAUAGCUAAUUUGGCAAUGAAUGGGUUGAACCAAGAUUUAAUAAUGAGCAAAGGAGGUGCUCGAUUAUUAGCAAAUAUAGCAUCUGGGACAGAUGACCCUCAAACUCUUCGGAUGGUAGCUGGAGCAAUUGCUAAUUUAUGUGGAAAUGAAAAGUUACAAGUGAUGUUGAAAGAGGAUGGCGGAAUAAAAGCACUUUUGGGAAUGGUCAGAUCUGGAAAUAAUGAUGUGAUAGCACAAAUUGCUAGAGGAAUGGCGAACUUUGCAAAAUGUGAAUCACGAGGAAUCAAGCAAGGUUCUUUUCCUAUGAUUUUGUCUUGCCUAUAGUGUGCAAUUAUUGCUUUCUGGCAAUGAUGAUCCGGAAGAUGAGAUCUCGUAAAGUGUGCUUGAAUAAUAUUUGUUAGUGAUACCGGAUUAAUCUUUGAAGUGUCUACUAAAGUACUUAUAGUCAGUUCAAUCAGAGAGUGGCAGGAUAUUAGCUUCAUGAAGUUCAAUGAAUCCACAAUUUAGUUAUUCACUAACAUUCCAGUUCAUAAGUCUUGUUGAUACAAAAAUGGUCACAUUCAGGCUACUGGUGUAUUUAUGGUAGAAGAGCCAACUAUGUUAUGGCAGCAUUAGUAAUUACUUUCUUCAAAUGUGCUGUUUAUGUUAUGACCUUGACUAUGCAAAGAGGUUUCCAGUGUUGUACAAAAGAAGGAUACAAACGAGGGAGGUCUCUUCUUAUUGAUGAUGGUGCACUUAAUUGGAUGGUUUCCAAGUUAACAACAUUUUCAGCUCCAAUAAGGCGCCACAUUGAACUUGCUCUCUGUCAUCUGGCUCAAAA
This is an RNA transcript of Phoenix dactylifera (date palm), 4102 nucleotides long. It is a transcript of the gene named Armadillo/beta-catenin repeat family protein / kinesin motor family protein, with no coding region annotated. NCBI's taxonomy places the organism in Eukaryota, Viridiplantae, Streptophyta, Magnoliopsida, Arecales, Arecaceae. The record is from RefSeq and is a predicted model, not a curated record.